AGGUGGUUCACCUCCCAUUUCUAGCUUCAGUUAAAACUUCUGUUCAGAAAAUCCAGGUUUCCAAGGCAACUAACAAAGAAGAAGAAAAUAAAACCAACAGCAAAUUUUAAAAGGUAAAGUUAAAAUACUACCAAUCACAUCAGGCUAAA
Long non-coding RNA from Hemicordylus capensis (graceful crag lizard), 149 nucleotides. RefSeq lists it as uncharacterized. The transcript has 3 exons. The record is from RefSeq and is a predicted model, not a curated record. NCBI's taxonomy places the organism in Eukaryota, Metazoa, Chordata, Lepidosauria, Squamata, Cordylidae.